UAGGGAAUCUUCCACAAUGGACGCAAGUCUGAUGGAGCAACGCCGCGUGAGUGAAGAAGGUUUUCGGAUCGUAAAGCUCUGUUGUUGGUGAAGAAGGAUAGAGGUAGUAACUGGCCUUUAUUUGACGGUAAUCAACCAGAAAGUCACGGCUAACUACGUGCCAGCAGCCGCGGUAAUACGUAGGUGGCAAGCGUUGUCCGGAUUUAUUGGACGUAAAGCGAGCGCAGGCGGAAGAAUAAGUCUGAUGUGAAAGCCCUCGGCUUAACCGAGGAAUUGCAUCGGAAACUGUUUUCUUGAGUGCAGAAGAGGAGAGUGGAACUCCAUGUGUAGCGGUGGAAUGCGUAGAUAUAUGGAAGAACACCAGUGGCGAAGGCGGCUCUCUGGUCUGCAACUGACGCUGAGGCUCGAAAAGCAUGGGUAGCGAACAGGAUUAGAUACCCUGGUAGUCCA
This 450-nucleotide ribosomal RNA is filed under the name uncultured bacterium. RNAcentral describes it as "partial 16S ribosomal RNA". It matches the Rfam family "Bacterial small subunit ribosomal RNA", at positions 355 to 797 of the family's 1533-position model. The record is from RNAcentral.